RNAcentral lists this small nuclear RNA (99 nucleotides) under Cervus elaphus hippelaphus. Lineage: Eukaryota; Metazoa; Chordata; Mammalia; Artiodactyla; Cervidae. The record is from RNAcentral.
CUUUGGAGAGUGACAUCGUCUUAGACUGAAGAUUAUCCAAAGCAGUAUAAUUGCUGAUUGAACACUUCCCCCCAUGUCUUGUUGUAUUAGCUUGCAAUA